GAGACAAGCGCAACAGAACACGUGUCGAUUCAUCUAUCACUUUGUCAACAUCAAAAGUAUCCCAUAUCAUCAAGGUCAAACACACUCUUGAUUUGAUGAACUUGUUUUGACCCUCAAAUUCUUGAGUCAACCUUAUACUCUUGAGGAAACCAGAAAACCCUCAAGCCCAAUUCAAGAAUAAACAUGUGGAAAGUUACUUCUUCAAAAGCAAAAGUAUCUCAUAUCAUCUAUUCUCCUUUUUCUUCUCUUUAUCCUUCAUGCUGCUUGCAAGAUAGGGAGAAUGAGAACAAUCAGCCGGAACUCGAAAUUAAACUUCUGAUCUGGGACUAAUUGGUGGGAGAUCUGAUUGCUUACCUUGUCUGUCACAUCUUUCGGCGGAUCUCCUAGGUCGGCGACUUGGGAGACUCCUACUACAUGGUUUGUAUCGCGUUUGACCAAGUCUGAAACUACAAGUAAGCUUCAAGUGAAAUUGAUACGUUAGCUUGUGCAUCUUCACCGGUUAAGGAUGCCAUCCCUGGAUGGAGGAAAAGUACUUUCAGAGAAGAUGCCACAUCAACCUAUGAGAUAGAUAAGGCAAGUGAAAAUGAUACCACAUUUCAGUACUUAGAAGUUUCAUGAUUACUCAGCAGCUUGGAUCUUGCAAGUCCCCAACCGAUGAGCUUCCCUCACUCGGGAACUUAGGGGAGUACUGUUUGUACCAUACUUGACUAAUCCUGAAACUACUGAGCACUGGUCAACGUUAUACCGUUAAGGACCCAGAAGAAUUUCCCUCAAACCAAGAGGCCAAUCACAGUGUGACACAUGUCGACAUCAGAAGCCAAUCACAGUGCGACACGUGUUAACAUCAGAAGCCAAUCACAACACGACACGUGUCAAUGUCAGAACAAAGUUAGAAACUCAUCUAUAAAAGAAGAUCAUUCUCUCACAAUAUUCCUAAUGUCAUUUGUACUAAAUCAUUCACUAGUACUCACUA
This 973-nucleotide long non-coding RNA is filed under the name Malus domestica (apple). Its description in RNAcentral is "long non-coding RNA (MDOM_LNC002574)". The record is from RNAcentral. Lineage: Eukaryota; Viridiplantae; Streptophyta; Magnoliopsida; Rosales; Rosaceae.